UCUGCUGGUAUCUACACAGAGCUACCUGAUUGGAGCAUCGAGAUCAUCAAUAUGCUAGCAUCUUGCAGAUCUCGCUUCUCAUCCUUGGAUCUAGAUCUCUUCUUCUAGAUCUUGAAGAAAGAGAUCGCUGCGCGAACUCUUUGAUACAGAUCCGAUGGGAUCUGAACUAGAUCACCAUGAAGAGAAGAAGAACCCUUCUUCUUCUCUCUCUUUUCUCUUCUUAGAUAUAAUCUCUAUCAGAUCUGGGCAUUGGGA
RNAcentral lists this long non-coding RNA (255 nucleotides) under Elaeis guineensis (African oil palm). RNAcentral describes it as "long non-coding RNA (EGUI_LNC059958)". Lineage: Eukaryota; Viridiplantae; Streptophyta; Magnoliopsida; Arecales; Arecaceae. The record is from RNAcentral.